UCAAAUCAUCAUGCCCCUUAUGACUUGGGUUACACACGUGCUACAAUGGAUGGUACAAAGGGCUGCAAGACCGCGAGGUCAAGCCAAUCCCAUAAAACCAUUCUCAGUUCGGAUUGUAGGCUGCAACUCGCCUACAUGAAGCUGGAAUCGCUAGUAAUCGCGGAUCAGCAUGCCGCGGUGAAUACGUUCCCGGGCCUUGUACACACCGCCCGUCACACCACGAGAGUUUGUAACACCCGAAGUCGGUGGGGUAACCUUAUGGAGCCAGCCGCUAA
RNAcentral lists this ribosomal RNA (275 nucleotides) under Priestia flexa. Its description in RNAcentral is "Bacillus flexus partial 16S ribosomal RNA". It matches the Rfam family "Bacterial small subunit ribosomal RNA", at positions 1185 to 1459 of the family's 1533-position model. Lineage: Bacteria; Bacillati; Bacillota; Bacilli; Caryophanales; Bacillaceae. The record is from RNAcentral.